RNAcentral lists this small RNA (955 nucleotides) under Pongo abelii (Sumatran orangutan). RNAcentral describes it as "retained intron". Lineage: Eukaryota; Metazoa; Chordata; Mammalia; Primates; Hominidae. The record is from RNAcentral.
GACGGCGUAGGUAACCAGGCUCUGUAGCCGUGGCAGCGGCCGUGGCAGGCUGGCUGGGUACCGGCUGCCGCUGACCCGGGAGACGCUACAUCAACCGGGGUUGCAGCGCCCUGCCGCCGCGGGGCCGGCAGCUGAACUAUGUGCUCUUCAGGGCGGGCACCGUGUUGCAUUCAUCUUUGUACCCCCAGCAUCUAGCAGUGUUGGCAUGUAGUAGGCACUCAAGAAAUGUGUGUUGAAUGAACGAUGCCUGUGACAAGCAAGCGGACUUUAUUCUUUCCUGACCCUUGCUCCUAUGACACACCUCCUCCUGACUGCCACUGUCACUCCUUCAGAGCAGAACUCCUCUAGGGAACCUGGAUGGGAAACAGCCAUGGCCAAGGACAUCCUGGGUGAAGCAGGGCUGCACUUUGAUGAACUGAACAAGCUGAGGGUGUUGGACCCAGAGGUUACCCAGCAGACCAUAGAGCUGAAGGAAGAGUGCAAAGACUUUGUGGACAGUGAGUAUUGGGGAGAUACAGUGCCACUCAGCUUUGAGCUGCCAUUCCAACUGUACCCCAGGCUCAUCUUGGCCCUGCCACAGUGGAGCUGCUGGCUCCCUGGAGGUUGAAUCUGGCAUCUGUGAGUUCCCACGUGCCACCCUUUUCUGUCUGCCCUCUUGUGCUCUCAUGUGUCCCCAACAGAGCACCAGUCAAACCAAACACUGGGAUGGGGAGGGGAGGGUGUUUUUUAGAUAUGCCAUCUUUCAUUUCUUGCUCUUAGAAACCUUAAACUUUCUGGGAACACAAUCAUGGCUUGGGGGUGGGAAAUAGAAUUAUGUACUCAUGAUUUGAUUUCUUCAGAGAAAGUCUUCUCAGUGGCAGGUUCUCUGUUAUUUGGAGUUAGAAGUGAUAGGUGAAGUUUCUAGAAGCAGCUCAACAGACUUACUGAAGUAAUCUUUUGGCUAGAAAUCUUCAGG